UCAGAGUUUGUGCAAUCAAAAAGGGUCAGGAGCACUCUUUAUUGUCUGGUCUAUCUCCGUCGGCGUGCCAUUCAUCUUCGGGGUAUCGCCAUCUACGGUCCUAUAAUGUUUUUCCCCAAACCGGGAUGAGACUUUGUCUCAGCAAAUUCACCCCUCCUAAACCCCUAUUAGAAAGCAAAUACACCCCAAAAUGGUCUAGCCGCACAGUACAUAAGACUUACCUCGCCUUCUCGCCUUCCUGCAGGUUAGUAUAAUUCAUAUCACUCAAGCACCAGUAAUGAUACAAAUGUAAGCCAUCAGAACACAAUCAAUUUCACUUAAUUUCACAAUCACAGUAAGCGUUCCAUGACAUCAUUAUCCACUGCCACACAAAGGCACAGCCUACACGUAGGCCGGCCAUCUACUAGCAUUACGGCAUUUCUAGAUGAGUAAAGGUCCAGUCAGUCUCGCCACUACUGCGACCAAGCCACGUCGUUCUAUCGACGGCAUUUCUAGGAGAAUAAAGGUCCAGUCGGCCUCGCCACUACUGCAACCAAGCCACGUCGUUCUAUCGACAGCAUUUCUAGAAAAGUAAAGGUCCAGUCGGUUUCGCCACUACUGCGACCAAGCCACGUCGUUCUAUCGACAGCAUUUCUGAAAAGUAAAGGUCCAGUCGGUCUCGCCACUACUGCAACCAAGCCACGUCGUUCUAUCGACAGCAUUUCUAGAAAAGUAAAGGUCAAGUCGGUCUCGCCACUACUGCGACCAAGCCACGUCGUUCUAUCGACAGCAUUUCUAGGAGAAUAAAGGUCCAGUCGGUCUCGCCACUACUGCGACCAAGCCACGUCGUUCUAUCGACAACAUUUCUAGAAAAGUAAAGGUCCAGUCGGUCUCGCCACUACUACGACCAAGCCACGUCGUUCUAUCGACAGCAUUUCUAGAAAAGUAAAGGUCCAGUCGGUCUCGCCACUACUGCGACCAAGCCUUUCAACCAGCACACGACAAUUCAAAAUCAACUCCUGUAUACUUUACAUGUCACUCACAUACUCCAAUUUCAAUAUUAACCCUUCAAAUUUCGAUUUCGGUGCCAAACCCAACACGUGGGAAUUUUUGAAUAAAAUUCCUAUUUUUCACAAUCAACAUUCAAUUUGCAAUAUUUACUCAUCAAAUUCAAAUUCUAAACACAUAGCAACGAUCAGCAUGAAAUUCUAAGAAAAUAGGGUCAAAAGUAAAUUUUCGAGUUUUUUUUUCGGAUUAUAAUAUAAUAUUAUAUUUCCCAGAAUUUUCGAAGCAAUUAAAUAAUUCAAAAAUAAAAUCCUAUUAUGUCCCAUCAAGGUUUAAUAUUAAAUAACUCCUUUUAACCUUAAUUAAACACACUUUAAUAUAAACCAAUCACUUAAUCAAACUUAUAAUUAAAUAUACUAAUCUAUCCACCUAAACUUACUUAAUUUAAACUAAACACACUUAGGGCAUCAUUAACAUUCUAAUCAAGGUUUAGUGAGGUAAACUCACUUGAUUAACUCGCCGCUUAGACCAAAACGACGAGGGCGACGCCGGGAUCAACUUUUCCAAAGGCGAGCCUAGCUUCCGGGGCCGGGAAGGUGGCCAAAACAGGCCUUGAGUGGGCU
RNAcentral lists this long non-coding RNA (1607 nucleotides) under Eucalyptus grandis. RNAcentral's name for it is "long non-coding RNA (EGRA_LNC001197)". The record is from RNAcentral. Lineage: Eukaryota; Viridiplantae; Streptophyta; Magnoliopsida; Myrtales; Myrtaceae.